CGGGACGGGGUGGAGUAAUGUCUGGGAAACUGCCCGAUGGAGGGGGGUAACUACUGGAAACGGUAGCUAAUACCGCAUAACGUCGCAAGACCAAAGAGGGGGACCUUCGGGCCUCUUGCCAUCGGAUGUGCCCAGAUGGGAUUAGCUAGUAGGUGGGGUAACGGCUCACCUAGGCGACGAUCCCUAGCUGGUCUGAGAGGAUGACCAGCCACACUGGAACUGAGACACGGUCCAG
This 235-nucleotide ribosomal RNA is filed under the name uncultured bacterium. RNAcentral describes it as "partial 16S ribosomal RNA". It matches the Rfam family "Bacterial small subunit ribosomal RNA", at positions 104 to 334 of the family's 1533-position model. The record is from RNAcentral.